RNAcentral lists this ribosomal RNA (230 nucleotides) under Vibrio splendidus. RNAcentral's name for it is "partial 23S ribosomal RNA". It matches the Rfam family "Bacterial large subunit ribosomal RNA", at positions 1 to 226 of the family's 2925-position model. Lineage: Bacteria; Pseudomonadati; Pseudomonadota; Gammaproteobacteria; Vibrionales; Vibrionaceae. The record is from RNAcentral.
GUUGUAUGGUUAAGUGACUAAGCGUACACGGUGGAUGCCUUGGCAGUCAGAGGCGAUGAAAGGCGUAAUAACUUGCGAUAAGCCCAGAUUAGGUAGUAAUAACCUUUUGAGUCUGGGAUUCCUGAAUGGGGAAACCCACUUGCAUAAGCAAGUAUCCUGUUGUGAAUACAUAGCAACAGGAGGCAAACCGGGGGAACUGAAACAUCUAAGUACCCCGAGGAAGAGAAAUC